GACGAACGCUGGCGGCGUGCCUAAUACAUGCAAGUAGAACGCUGAAGAGAGGAGCUUGCUCUUCUUGGAUGAGUUGCGAACGGGUGAGUAACGCGUAGGUAACCUGCCUUGUAGCGGGGGAUAACUAUUGGAAACGAUAGCUAAUACCGCAUAACAAUGGAUGACACAUGUCAUUUAUUUGAAAGGGGCAAUUGCUCCACUACAAGAUGGACCUGCGUUGUAUUAGCUAGUAGGUGAGGUAAUGGCUCACCUAGGCGACGAUACAUAGCCGACCUGAGAGGGUGAUCGGCCACACUGGGACUGAGACACGGCCCAGACUCCUACGGGAGGCAGCAGUAGGGAAUCUUCGGCAAUGGGGGCAACCCUGACCGAGCAACGCCGCGUGAGUGAAGAAGGUCUUCGGAUCGUAAAGUUCUGUUGUAAGUCAAGAACGGGUGUGAGAGUGGAAAGUUCACACUGUGACGGUAGCUUACCAGAAAGGGACGGCUAACUACGUG
RNAcentral lists this ribosomal RNA (497 nucleotides) under uncultured bacterium. Its description in RNAcentral is "partial 16S ribosomal RNA". It matches the Rfam family "Bacterial small subunit ribosomal RNA", at positions 28 to 507 of the family's 1533-position model. The record is from RNAcentral.